CGUUGCUUCAUAUACAAUAUUAAACGGAAUCAUAGGAAAAUCCUGAGAGCUCAUUUGCAUCUCUUCUUCUUGAGUACUUUUACUUAAAGUGUCAACUCCAAUUCUUCCUAUUCCCAAGUCAAGUAAUUGAACCUCUUGGCUAAUUUCUUUCUCCUCCUUUUUAAGAAACUUCCUUCUCCAUAUGGCAUAAAUGGAGGAACCGAAUAGCGCUAACACUAAAACCGCUGCAGAAGUACUUGCAAUGACUUUAAUCUGAGUUUUUU
Molecule: unclassified non-coding RNA, 263 nt
Filed under: Hevea brasiliensis (rubber tree)
Lineage: Eukaryota; Viridiplantae; Streptophyta; Magnoliopsida; Malpighiales; Euphorbiaceae
Source: RNAcentral